This 537-nucleotide ribosomal RNA is filed under the name uncultured bacterium. RNAcentral's name for it is "bacterial SSU rRNA". It matches the Rfam family "Bacterial small subunit ribosomal RNA", at positions 102 to 674 of the family's 1533-position model. The record is from RNAcentral.
ACGGGUGAGUAACGCGUGGGAAACUACCCUAUGGUACGGAAUAACACAGAGAAAUUUGUGCUAAUACCGUAUGUGUCCUUCGGGAGAAAGAUUUAUCGCCAUAGGAUGUGCCCGCGUCGGAUUAGCUAGUUGGUGAGGUAAUGGCCCACCAAGGCGACGAUCCGUAGCUGGUCUGAGAGGAUGAUCAGCCGCAUUGGGACUGAGACACGGCCCAAACUCCUACGGGAGGCAGCAGUGGGGAAUAUUGGACAAUGGGCGCAAGCCUGAUCCAGCCAUGCCGCGUGAGUGAUGAAGGCCUUAGGGUUGUAAAGCUCUUUCGCUCGCGAGGAUAAUGACGGUAGCGAGAGAAGAAGCCCCGGCUAACUUCGUGCCAGCAGCCGCGGUAAUACGAAGGGGGCUAGCGUUGUUCGGAAUCACUGGGCGUAAAGCGCUCGUAGGCGGAUAUUUAAGUCAGAGGUGAAAGCCUGGGGCUCAACUCCAGAACUGCCUUUGAUACUGGGUAUCUUGAGUCCGGUAGAGGUGAGUGGAACUGCUAGU